This 428-nucleotide ribosomal RNA is filed under the name uncultured bacterium. RNAcentral describes it as "bacterial SSU rRNA". It matches the Rfam family "Bacterial small subunit ribosomal RNA", at positions 962 to 1389 of the family's 1533-position model. The record is from RNAcentral.
CGAAGAACCUUACCUGGUCUUGACAUCCCUYUGACCGGCAAGUAAUGUUGCCUUUCCUUCGGGACAGAGGAGACAGGUGGUGCAUGGUUGUCGUCAGCUCGUGUCGUGAGAUGUUGGGUUAAGUCCCGCAACGAGCGCAACCCUUACCUUCAGUAACCAGCACGUAAUGGUGGGGACUCUGGAGGGACUGCCAGGGACAACCUGGAGGAAGGUGGGGAUGACGUCAAAUCAUCAUGCCCCUUAUGACCAGGGCUACACACGUGCUACAAUGGCGUAAACAAAGAGAGGCGAGGCUGUGAAGCGGAGCAAAUCUCAAAAAUAACGUCUCAGUUCGGAUUGUAGUCUGCAACUCGACUACAUGAAGCUGGAAUCGCUAGUAAUCGCGGAUCAGAAUGCCGCGGUGAAUACGUUCCCGGGUCUUGUACACA